RNAcentral lists this ribosomal RNA (253 nucleotides) under uncultured bacterium. RNAcentral's name for it is "partial 16S ribosomal RNA". It matches the Rfam family "Bacterial small subunit ribosomal RNA", at positions 524 to 776 of the family's 1533-position model. The record is from RNAcentral.
UACGGAGGGUGCAAGCGUUAAUCGGAAUUACUGGGCGUAAAGCGUGCGUAGGCGGUUUGUUAAGUCAGAUGUGAAAGCCCUGGGCUCAACCUGGGAACUGCAUUUGAUACUGGCAGGCUAGAGUAUGGUAGAGGGAAGUGGAAUUCCGGGUGUAGCGGUGAAAUGCGUAGAUAUCCGGAGGAACACCAGUGGCGGAGGCGACUUCCUGGACCAAUACUGACGCUGAGGUACGAAAGCGUGGGUAGCAAACAGG